Small nuclear RNA from Coffea eugenioides, 155 nucleotides. RefSeq annotates it as U4 spliceosomal RNA. The transcript has a single exon. NCBI's taxonomy places the organism in Eukaryota, Viridiplantae, Streptophyta, Magnoliopsida, Gentianales, Rubiaceae. The record is from RefSeq and is a predicted model, not a curated record.
AUCUUUGCGCUUGGGGCAAUGACGCAUCUAGCUAGUGAGGUUCUAACCGAGGCGCGUCUAUUGCUGGUUGAAAACUCUGCUAGCCUUUUAGGCCCUUACCUUUCAUGCUGAUGAAAACGUGUGUAUUUCCAAAAUCCUGAGCUUAUUAAUGCAGG